CCCUUAGAUGUUCUGAGCCGCGCGCGUGCUACACUGAGUGGAUCAGCGGGUCAGGUUGCGCGAAAGUGUUUCCUAAUCUUUAAAUCCGCUCGUGAUGGGGAUUGACGGUUGCAAUUUUCCGUCAUGAACGAGGAAUACCUUGUAAGCGCGGGUCAUCAUCCCGCGCUGAAUACGUCCCUGCCCUUUGUACACACCGCCCGUCGCUCCUACCGAUUGAGUGGUCCGGUGAGGCUUUGGGAUCUGAGCGGAAAGAGCGUUUCGCUGUUUCUGCCCGGAAAACUCAGUCGAACCUUAUCAUUUAGAGGAAGGAGAAGUCGUAACA
This 322-nucleotide ribosomal RNA is filed under the name uncultured eukaryote. RNAcentral describes it as "partial 18S ribosomal RNA". It matches the Rfam family "Eukaryotic small subunit ribosomal RNA", at positions 1470 to 1796 of the family's 1831-position model. The record is from RNAcentral.